Molecule: ribosomal RNA, 253 nt
Filed under: uncultured bacterium
Lineage: Bacteria
Description: partial 16S ribosomal RNA
Rfam family: Bacterial small subunit ribosomal RNA
Source: RNAcentral
UACGAAGGGGACUAGCGUUGUUCGGAUUUACUGGGCGUAAAGCGCGCGUAGGGGGAUCGCUAAGUCAGGGGUGAAAUCCCAGGGCUCAACCCUGGAACUGCCUUUGAUACUGACGGUCUGGAGAUCGGGAGAGGUUGGUGGAAUUCCGAGUGUAGAGGUGAAAUUCGUAGAUAUUCGGAGGAACACCAGAAGCGAAGGCGGCCAACUGGCCCGAUACUGACGCUGAGGCGCGAAAGCGUGGGGAGCAAACAGG